Molecule: transfer RNA, 87 nt
Filed under: Phycisphaerales bacterium
Lineage: Bacteria; Pseudomonadati; Planctomycetota; Phycisphaerae; Phycisphaerales
Description: tRNA-Ser
Rfam family: tRNA
About the family: Transfer RNA (tRNA) molecules are approximately 80 nucleotides in length. Their secondary structure includes four short double-helical elements and three loops (D, anti-codon, and T loops).
Source: RNAcentral
GGAGAGGUGUCCGAGCGGCUGAAGGAGCUAGUCUCGAAAACUAGUAUGGCCUCCGGGUCAUCGGGAGUUCGAAUCUCCCCCUCUCCG